Long non-coding RNA from Astatotilapia calliptera (eastern happy), 2083 nucleotides. The record is from Ensembl. NCBI's taxonomy places the organism in Eukaryota, Metazoa, Chordata, Actinopteri, Cichliformes, Cichlidae.
CCCCAGUGCAGAAAAGAAAACAAUACUCCGGGUCACUUGCAUUCAGCUCACAGUUUUUGAGAGGGUGUUAUCUCCAUGUUUAUCACAUUUUACAGGUGAGCCCAUGCACAGUUGAGAGAUUAUCCAAGUAAAAAAUUCUUAGACAUGCCGAGACUGAUCUGAAACACAAACUGUAGACCCCACGUGGAUGCACACCGUCUGGGCAGCUAUAUAACUGUCGGCAUAAGCAAUCACCAGACUCAGAGUUCCUCGUCGUCCCAACGAACACUUUAAACACUUCGGAGUAAGAAGAAACACCUUUGGCAUCAUGUCCAGGAUCACCGCGGUAACGAUCUUGCUCAUCAUUCUCGUCAACAGCUUGUGCAGCAGCGCAGGUGCGCAACGAUUAUUCUUUUUCACUUGUUCUGCAGAGAUGUAGAUGUCACAGUUUUACUCUGCAACAUGGCUGUAAACAGGUGACUCUGUUAAACUGUAGACUGUGACACUGGUGUUAUACAGAGCUGAUGGGUAAGGUAUCGCUGCUCCACAUGACUGAUGUCUUAUUUGUUAUCUUCUUCCACUGCAGCUCCUUCCCAUGGAGUAUCCCUGUAUAUUCGCAAGUGCAGAUGCACAGGUGAGUGACCAGUGACCACUUUCAUCUUCUUUGCGUAAAAAAAUGCAAAACAAACAAAAACAAAUUUAAAGACACAAAACAAAUAUCUUAGUUCUUUGUGUUGCUAUGGGCGUAUGUGAUGGUGUUUCCAAUUGAACAUUUAGGGAAUUUUCUCCUAAGUUCUCUGCUAUUAAAAACAUUCCUUUUUUAUGUGGAGACAGUUACAGUGACCAGCUGUCUUCUCUUGCAGAGAUUUCCACAGGCAGGUUUAAGUGUCCCAAACCGCUCAUGCCCACAAACUACAACAAGCAGCGAGAUGUGUUUAAAUGCGCCUGCAAAAAAAUACAAGAAGAGAAGCGUUCAGAUCUUCUGCAGUUCUGCCGUGUGAUCAAGAAAUACAACCUUGCUGAUCUGCUCUGAGAUAAAGAAGUCCAGACACUGACUAACCAAACUUAAUAUCCUAUUACGUAUGACAUUAAUCUUGUUAUGUAGAUGGUUGUGAUUUUUUCUGAAAUUGUAAAUAAAGACAGUUAUUUUUUUUAUUACAUAGAGUCUCGUCUCCUUCUGUGUUUCCACAUAUUUAACUGAAAAAGCCCUCAACCUUGAAAACAAAUAAAAUGAACAUUUUUAAUAUCCUAUUAUUCAUUUUUUGUCCUUUUUUUAGUAUUUUGAAAUUUUAAAAACAUGAAAGAGAAGCAAUUAUUGUUAUAUAUGAUCUGGUCUCACUCUGAAAUGUGUUCAUAGAUUUCACAGAGACAAUGACAUAAAUACACUGAUUAAUAGUGAAUCAUUUCUAUGGAGGAUUACUUGUUUCCCAGCUGCCUGGCCUCCAAUCUUCAUGUUGAACUAUAGUAAAAGAAGUUCAGCACAAAAGUGAGAGUGGUUUCUAUGUCACCCAGAGUUAAACAAGACAUUAAAUGGACAUUUUUCCCUAAAUAUCAUCAAAGUGUGUGUUGCUUUAAUGGCAGGAAUGCUUGUGAAAUAAAUGACUCAUUUCUUCAAUGCUGUUACAAAACCCUCACCACACAGGCAGGAAUGUCCACUGAUAUAUAAACUGAUGAUAAUGUUCAUCUUCUUUUUUUUUUUAAAGGUUUAUUUUUUUAUGCCUUCAACUGAAAACAACAAUAAAACAACAAAAUCAAGACACAGAAUCACUUUUCACAUGUUAGCCUCACACGUCCUGUUCUUGUCUUAUUGUCAGUUACUGUUAAUAAUCAGGUCCUACAUUUCUGAGCAGACAUAAUAUAUUUUCAGGCUGCAGUAUUUUUAAUGCUACUCGAGCUGAUUUCUGUUAGCUGUGGCCCCUGAAGAAGUAGACAAAACCUUUGUUUGAUGGAGGCAUCGAUUCACAACUUUAUCUGCCAAGACAAAGAGAAAUUCAGAUAUCAGCACACCAGCACUGCAUAUGUGGACAAUAGGACCUGCCUUUGCAAAUCAUUUUGUGUAACUUUCAAACUUUAAUAGUCAUUAUUUCCUUGAGUUGAAAGCACU